Molecule: ribosomal RNA, 569 nt
Filed under: Candida tropicalis
Lineage: Eukaryota; Fungi; Ascomycota; Pichiomycetes; Serinales; Debaryomycetaceae
Description: partial large subunit ribosomal RNA
Rfam family: Eukaryotic large subunit ribosomal RNA
Source: RNAcentral
AACCAACAGGGAUUGCCUUAGUAGCGGCGAGUGAAGCGGCAAAAGCUCAAAUUUGAAAUCUGGCUCUUUCAGAGUCCGAGUUGUAAUUUGAAGAAGGUAUCUUUGGGUCUGGCUCUUGUCUAUGUUUCUUGGAACAGAACGUCACAGAGGGCGAGAAUCCCGUGCGAUGAGAUGAUCCAGGCCUAUGUAAAGUUCCUUCGAAGAGUCGAGUUGUUUGGGAAUGCAGCUCUAAGUGGGUGGUAAAUUCCAUCUAAAGCUAAAUAUUGGCGAGAGACCGAUAGCGAACAAGUACAGUGAUGGAAAGAUGAAAAGAACUUUGAAAAGAGAGUGAAAAAGUACGUGAAAUUGUUGAAAGGGAAGGGCUUGAGAUCAGACUUGGUAUUUUGUAUGUUACUUCUUCGGGGGUGGCCUCUACAGUUUAUCGGGCCAGCAUCAGUUUGGGCGGUAGGAGAAUUGCGUUGGAAUGUGGCACGGCUUCGGUUGUGUGUUAUAGCCUUCGUCGAUACUGCCAGCCUAGACUGAGGACUGCGGUUUAUACCUAGGAUGUUGGCAUAAUGAUCUUAAGUCGC